This 4485-nucleotide long non-coding RNA is filed under the name Capsicum annuum. Its description in RNAcentral is "long non-coding RNA (CANN_LNC001633)". Lineage: Eukaryota; Viridiplantae; Streptophyta; Magnoliopsida; Solanales; Solanaceae. The record is from RNAcentral.
AAAAUACACGGACAUAAACCAAAAAGAAAAAGAAAACAGAAACAACAAAUAAAAGGAACACAGUAGAAGCAAAAACAAGGAGAGACAUAAGGAAAAGAAACAGACAAAGAUGGAAAAACAAGCAAAACAGAAGAGAAAAGUAGACUUGAGAGGAAAAAGGAGUAAAAAAAGUGACGAUUUGAGUUCAAGUUCGGGUUUCGUUUGAGUUUUUUUUUGGUGAAGACAUUUUUUGUUUCUAUUUUAGUUAUUCUACCACACAGGUUCUUAUCGGAUUCUUUAUUGAUAAUUUUAUUUAGUUUUUGGGGUUAAAGCAUGAAUGAAGUAAUUCCAAUGAUUUGUUAUAUUAUUUCGUAUGUAAAAUUAAUUAUUUAGUUUAUGCUUUACGUCUUUAUUUGUAAUUCGUGUAAUGUUUUUUGAAGAUAAUGUUAAUUAUAUUGACUAUGAAUUUUGAAUGCGAUGAUUCCAAAGUUAUUAGUUGUAAAGAUAUAAAUUGCGUUAAUACAAAUAAUUAGUAUGUAUUGUGCUAUAAACCACUACUUUGAUUCAUGAAUGCAAUGCAUGUAAAAAGAUUUUAAAAGAGAAGGGUUGAAAAAAUAACAUGCACAUGCAUAUGCACACACACAAAAAUGGAAGACAUAUAAAACUGGAAGAAAAAAAAUCUUAAGAAGAAAGGAAAGGAGAAAAAAAAAUAGAGACAUGAACAUGCAAACAGAUAAUGGAAAAAUUUAAAAAGAAAAAGAAAAGAUAGAGUUGAUAAAAUAAUGAAAGAGCACCACUUUAUUCAUUCUUUUUAUUUGGAUCUUUGUUUUGUUAUUGUUGUUAGUUGUCAAGAAUAAAAAGAAAACAAUUUCUAUAGUUGGUUUAAAAAUUAAAUCUUGAGGUUUAAGCUAUCAAUUUAAAUAAUAAGUUAGGUCAAUUAUAGUAAUUUAAUUUUGUUGUUUUCGUUUAUGUUUGAUCUUUUGUUCUAAUUGUAGUAUUCGAAUGUUUGGUUUCAAUUGAUUGGAUGCAUUUACAUUUAUCAUCUGAUAAGAUUUUUAAUUGUGAUCGAGUUUGAGUUGGCUUUCAGUUUGGUCAAAAUUUGGCCAUAGCAAAUCGCAUGGAUCACGAUUUUAAAUUUUAAAUCAAGACCCAUCAUAUUUGACAAUAGAAAAGAAAGGAUAAAAUUAAUAGAAAAAAUAGCAAGCAAUAAUAUAAAACGAAAAAAGAAAAGAAUUUAUUUUUGAAGUUAUAAAACAUGUUUUUGACAUUACGAAUUGUAUUAUUUUUUAUUUAUUAAAAAAUUUAAUAAUUAUUUAUUAAAUUAAUUAAUUAAUUUAGUUGAAUAUUUUUUAAGGUUAAGUAGCAUUUUUUUGAACAGGUAAAUUGUUACAUGUUUUUAUAAAAAAAAAAAAAAGAUAAAUCGAUGUUUAGCGUUAGACAAAUUUUAGAGACAUUUAAAAUAUUCGUCUCAAUUAAGAAUGCGGCAUACACAUCUUUCUAAGAUAUUUAGAAUUCAAGGAUGCAAUAAUACGCCUUGGCAAAUAUUUUUCUAAAAUUAAUUUUCAUUGAUUUAUUUAACAUAAAAUAAUAGACUAGUUUUAAAUAAAAUGAGCGAAUUUAGGUCUUAACAUAAUUGGUCAAAAUAGUUUAGUUUAAGUAUAAGUCAAUAAAAGCAACCGUGCUAGAACCACAGGACUCGAGGGGUGCCUCACUCCUUCCCCUCAGUCAACAAAAUUUCUUACCCGGUCUUCUAUUUUCGCAGACCAACAAAGAGUCAUUUUCUUUUGAUUAGAGAUUCAAAAAGGUGACUUGAAACACCAUAACUCAAUUUCAAGUGGUGACUUUGUAAAUAAAAUAAUCCCUAUUCAAAACUGUCACUUUAAUUAAAAAAAUCCUUCGACUCAAUCCUUGCAGGCGAAAAGGGGGUGUGACAAUCCUCAAUGCUACUCUCAAACUUAAACCCCCAAGAGAACCUAAGGAUUUCAUCGUACGUUCAUCUUUCCGGUCUCAAGCUUUGAAUUUCUUUUCAAUUCUCAUGUGUCUAAGUAUGUACCUCUUUUUCUACACUUUUAUUUUCUCAAUGGCAUGAAAAUUAGUUUAUUAUUCAUGGUUUUGAUAUUGGGUUUUGAACUAUGGGUUGAGGUUUCUGGAUAUAAAUUGUUUGAAUGUUUUCUCAUGAUUACUAUUGAACUAUUAUGUUUUACAUUAUUAAUUUGCACACUCAUUGGGGUGCAUGAAAAUGGUAAACAAACUAAGGGGUCAUGAUUAUCCCCAAUUUGAUGAUUUUGCCUUGAUAUAUGAUUUUAAAAAUUAUGUUCCCUCAACCCAAAUUGUGAAAUUAAUAAUGAAUAUGGUUUCAUCAUACAGUUUGAAGUUCUCACUUGAACUAUUGCAUUGGCAUAAAAGUUUAAUGAACUAUGGUGUAGUUUUAUUGAACUUUGGGGUAUGUGGAUUCCUCGUGAGGAUGUCAAUUGAACCUAAGGAGUCAUAAAUUUCUCCCGUGUAAUGGUUAAUGGAUUGUGGCAUGAUAAUGAACUUGCAAGUAGAGUUGGUAUGACGAUAACAAUGGGAUGCCUAAAUGUAUAAUCGGUUCAAUAAAUUAGGAAUAUGUGUUAAAUAUUUUAAUUGGGCUUAAAAGCGGGUAGUGUAGCCGGUCCAUGAAAGUAGAAGUCCCGAUGGACAAACAGCAAAAACCGCGUUAAUCGGCGUGGGGGUCUAAAUGACUGGGAGGUUCGAGUUUCCCUUAUUAUUAUUAUAUGAUUGGGAGGUUCAAGUCCCCCUUGUUAUAUAAAUUGGUGCUUUAUCCACAUUUGAUUUACACCGGGAGGUUCGAGUCCCUCAUCAGGCAUAUGAUAUAGGAUUAUCCUCUGGUUCGUGCGGCUACAUGUACUAGGGUCCUUCCAGCUGGGGAAGAGCUGGGCCCAUAUAACCCAUGGGUCCCUUGAUUAUGACAGUUAUACUAUACAAUCCAGGUUAAGGUUUUUAACAUUCAUGCUAAACCCUGUUUCCUUUCCCAGCAUAAUAUAUAUAUAUAUAUAUAUAUAUAUAUAUGUUGCAUAUGUCAUUGUGCAUUAGUUUUAAUGAUUUUUGUAUUAUGGUUCGUGACAUUAUUUUAUCCUUUAUGCUUGAGUUACAUGCUAGCGCUCCAACCGCUAACCGUCUUCGAACGUCGUAUCCCUACGUAAUGCAGACACCAGAAAUUUUUCUACCUUUCUUGCACAAUGAUUAGGUGCCUUGGAUAGCUGAUGAGUUGACUUGAAGUGGUAAGUUUCCAUCUUCCAAAGGACUUUAUUUUAUAUUUUCAUUUCCUAUGUCUUAGACUUUGUUUCAAACUUGUUUUUGGUUAUGGUCGGGGGCUUGUCCCAUCACAUUAUUGGUAUUUGGUUUUGUUAGAGGCUUUAUGGAUAACUUUGGACUUGGGUGUUGGUUAUUGGUAUUGGUGACGGUUUAUGGACAUAUUACCUAUGUCUUGAGUUUACCCUUAUUACCAUGUUAUAUAUCUGGGAUUCGGUCUCUGACAGCGUGUAUUCUUGUUUAACUAGGCAAAAGGGGUGGUCUCCGGUCCUCGAAGGACUUGAGAUACCCAUCACAGCUAGGCCCUGGUUCAGGUGGUGACAGUCAGACCUAGGUCGGGUCUAGGAGCUGAGGGGUUGGGGGUCCAAGUCAGGAGUCGAGAAUCGCGGUCGACCUGGAUCGGAUGUUGGGGUUGGGUUCCGAAUACGAAGUUAGGGUAGAUUCUCGUGUCCAGAUUGGGUCCUGGAUGAGGAGUGGGGGUCUGGUCCUUGAAUGGUUGUCGGGGUCAGGUCUUGCAUCACGUGUGAGGAAUCGAGGUUUAAGGUUGGGAUUGAAUUUGGUGCCAUUAGUAUUUGCUUAGAUUAUUACCUAUAUAAUGUUGGGAUAAUAUCUUCUUUUGACCAAUCAAACACCAAAAAAUAAGUAAUAAAAUCACUUAUUUUCACAGAAAAUAUUUCUAGGAAAACAUUUUCUUUCAUACCAACCCCCUCAACUUCCCUCUUAAUACAUUAUAUAACACACAAAAUACUAAGAGAAGAGGAGGAUACACAAAAACACAUGGACAUAAACCAAAAAGAAAAAGGAAACAGAAACAACAAAAAAAAAUGGAACACAACAGAAGCAAAAAUAAAGAGAGACAGAAGAAAAAGAAACAGACAAAGAUGGAAAAACAAGCAAAACAGAAGAGAAAAGUAGACUUGAGAGGAAAAAGGAGUAAAAAAAGUGACGAUUUGAGUUCAAGUUCGGGUUUCGUUUGAGUUUUUUUUUGGUGAAGACAUUUUUUGUUUCUAUUUUAGUUAUUCUACCACACAGGUUCUUAUCGGAUUCUUUAUUGAUAAUUUUAUUUAGUUUUUGGGGUUAAAGCAUGAAUGAAGUAAUUCCAAUGAUUUGUUAUAUUAUUUCGUAUGUAAAAUUAAUUAUUUAGUUUAUGCUUUACGUCUUUAUUUGUAAUUCGUGUAAUGUUUUUUGAAGAUAAUGUUAAUUAUAUUGACU